This is a long non-coding RNA of Poecilia latipinna (sailfin molly), 291 nucleotides long. RefSeq lists it as uncharacterized. The record is from RefSeq and is a predicted model, not a curated record. The transcript has 3 exons. NCBI's taxonomy places the organism in Eukaryota, Metazoa, Chordata, Actinopteri, Cyprinodontiformes, Poeciliidae.
UUGUACAGUCCUCGUAGCUCAGCACCACUCUGGCCUUGUGCCGACUAUAGAACCUGCAGCACUGCCACCCAAUUGCUAUCGUGAACAGUCUCAUGCCUUCCCUCAUGAAUGGCUAGAAUGGUAUUGAGUGGUAGCAUUUUCUUUCUUUCAUUUAGUUCUAUUUCACUAUAAAUAUAUUUUUCCUAUAUCUUCCCUUUCAAUAGUGCAUCUUCAACUUUCUGGAUUGCCAACCCCAAUAAUAACCUCAUCAAUUGUGCUGCUGCAGGCUCCGAGGUAACGGGUUUCUUGUUU